CGACACAGCGGCACAUGCGCAGUGAAAUCCUCAGGGGGGCUGAGGCGCCUUCAGCACUUUUCAAGGAGAAUGUGCGCAUGCGCCACAGUCCUUCCUGGCUUCUGCGAAAGCCGUGCCCCGCCUUCGAAUCUUAAAGAGCUAGAAGCAGCUUCGGUUCUUGCUGAGCAGGAGUACGCAGGCGCAGUGGGGUAGUGCUUCAGUCGGAAAUAGUCGUCGCUAUUAAGUUGCUGCUCUGUGUCCCAGCAGAGGAAGCUAGAGUGCCGAUCGUCCGAUCACCAAUUUGCGCCUUACUAGAUCCACUGGACCAGAAAAGUUUGUGAAUAGGAAGUCCCGAGUUUUGGGAGACCCAGGCUUGGAGCGUAGGGAGACGGAGGAGGCUGGAGGGAGCUCCUACCAUGGAGCCCACUCAGCUUUCAGAUGACCUCAUCCCAAACCAGCAGUCCCCUGCUCCUGAACUUGAGGAUCCUGAGGACCCCAGAGACGAAUCUCCAGACAGCUCAGACACUGUGGUCCUCAGUCUGUUCCCUUGCACCCCAGAGGCUGUGAAUCCCGAAUCAGCCAGUGCAUCCUCAUCACAGGGCAGCUUCUUGAAGCACUCAACAACCCUUACAAACCGGCAGCGUGGGAAUGAAGUCUCAGCUCUGCCAGCCACCCUGGAUUCACUGUCCGUUCACCAGCUUGCAGCACAGGGGGAGCUGAGCCAACUGAAGGACCAUCUCCGGAAGGGUGACAACCUGAUCAACAAACCAGAUGAACGUGGCUUCACUCCCCUCAUCUGGGCCUCAGCCUUUGGAGAAAUUGAGACGGUUCGCUUCCUGCUAGAGUGGGGUGCUGACCCCCACAUCCUGGCCAAGGAGAGAGAGAGUGCCCUGUCGCUUGCCAGCAUGGGUGGCUACACGGACAUUGUGAGGUUGUUGCUUGAUCGAGACGUGGACAUCAACAUCUACGAUUGGUCUUAUCCCACAGAAUGGAGGGACACCACUACUCUACGCGGUGCGUGGGAACCAUGUCAAGUGUGUAGAGGCCUUGCUGGCCCGGGGCGCUGACCUCACCACAGAGGCCGACUCUGGCUACACCCCAAUGGACCUCGCAGUGGCCUUGGGAUUCCGCAAAGUGCAACAGGUGAUGGAGAACCACAUCCUCCAACUGUUCCAGAGAACUCUGGGGCCUGCAGACCCAGAGUGAAGAUGGCCUGCUGGGGACCCAGGCACUCAGGGAAUAAGCCAGGCUGCCCCACAACUGGCUUGAGGCAGCUCCCGGACAGUGGUGGGAAGGGAUCCUCCCCAACAGGAACCAAUAAAUCUGUGCAGAAGUUGAAGGGCUUCUGGUGCCUCCCAGGGGUCUUCCUGGAGGUGGCGCCGAUGCUCUCACACUGCCUUCUCACCCAA
Alexandromys fortis (reed vole) is the source of this 1388-nucleotide RNA transcript. It is a transcript of the gene named regulatory factor X associated ankyrin containing protein, with no coding region annotated. The record is from RefSeq and is a predicted model, not a curated record. NCBI's taxonomy places the organism in Eukaryota, Metazoa, Chordata, Mammalia, Rodentia, Cricetidae. The transcript is spliced from 9 exons.